CGCUGGCGGCGUGCUUCAUACAUGCAAGUCGAACGAGAAAUUCACUUCGGUGAGUGGAAAGUGGCGGACGGGUGAGUAAUGUGUAGAGAAUCUGCCCUGGAGAGGGGGACAACAGAGGGAAACUUCUGCUAAUACCCCAUAUGCGCGUAGUUGAGAUACUAUUCGUGAAAGAUUUAUCGCUUCAGGAUGAGUCUGCAUCUGAUUAGCUAGUUGGGGGUGUAAUGGACCACCAAGGCGACGAUCAGUAGCUGGUUUGAGAGGAUGAUCAGCCACAAUGGGACUGAGACACGGCCCAUACUCCUACGGGAGGCAGCAGUAGGGAAUUUUGCGCAAUGGGCGAAAGCCUGAACCGCAGCAACGCCGCGUGAUCGCAGACGGCCUUCGGGUUGUAAAAAUCUGUCAGUAGGGACGAACAAUGACUGUACCUACAGAGGAAGCACCGGCUAACUCCGUGCCAGCCGCGGC
RNAcentral lists this ribosomal RNA (465 nucleotides) under uncultured bacterium. Its description in RNAcentral is "bacterial SSU rRNA". It matches the Rfam family "Bacterial small subunit ribosomal RNA", at positions 34 to 518 of the family's 1533-position model. The record is from RNAcentral.